This 497-nucleotide ribosomal RNA is filed under the name uncultured Actinomycetes bacterium. RNAcentral's name for it is "bacterial SSU rRNA". It matches the Rfam family "Bacterial small subunit ribosomal RNA", at positions 8 to 522 of the family's 1533-position model. Lineage: Bacteria; Bacillati; Actinomycetota; Actinomycetes. The record is from RNAcentral.
AGAGUUUGAUCAUGGCUCAGGACGAACGCUGGCGGCGUGCUUAACACAUGCAAGUCGAACGAUGAAGCCCUUCGGGGUGGAUUAGUGGCGAACGGGUGAGUAACACGUGGGCAAUCUGCCCUUCACUCUGGGACAAGCCCUGGAAACGGGGUCUAAUACCGGAUAACACCUGCCCGGGCAUCUGGGUGGGUUAAAAGCUCCGGCGGUGAAGGAUGAGCCCGCGGCCUAUCAGCUUGUUGGUGAGGUAGUGGCUCACCAAGGCGACGACGGGUAGCCGGCCUGAGAGGGCGACCGGCCACACUGGGACUGAGACACGGCCCAGACUCCUACGGGAGGCAGCAGUGGGGAAUAUUGCACAAUGGGCGAAAGCCUGAUGCAGCGACGCCGCGUGAGGGAUGACGGCCUUCGGGUUGUAAACCUCUUUCAGCAGGGAAGAAGCGAAAGUGACGGUACCUGCAGAAGAAGCGCCGGCUAACUACGUGCCAGCAGCCGCGGUA